GGGCGCGAUGGCCAGACCUCUACGGGAAGGGAGCCUCGGCGAGCCCCCAGCCCCGUUACCAGCCCACCCUGCCUGCGGGGGGGGGGGAAGGGGACGGAGGGGGGGGGCUUUACCUUUACCCCCCCCUCCCUUUACCCACCCCCCCACGUUUACACCCCCGUUUGAGCUGCGCCUGUCCCGGGGUUCCCCCUUCACCUCCUGCACCCCAAAACUUCAGCCUCUAUCGCUGUGGGACACGUCGGGACCCCCCCGCUGCUACCCACGAUGAAGCUGAAACUCACGAGGGUCCUUCCCCAAAUGGGGGGGCUCUGGUGGGGGGGGGACGCCCCCCACAGCCCCCCCAAGGCUUGGAGCAGGAGCUGGGAGCUCGGCUGCGCCUCCUGGGUGAUGCUUUUCAGCAGACCUACGAGCAACAGGGGGAAGCUCGGGGUGUGUUUUGGGGUCACCUUUACCGUCUGCUCUGGCAGCUGUUGGGAGCCCGGUACGACCUGCAAGCAGCCAACUGAGCUCGACCCCAACCCAGGACACCAACACACCCCCUUCCCCCCUUUAAAAGAGGGGGGGCCCAGGGGUGUAUCCUGACCCUCUCCCUCCCCCUUUAACCCCCAAAAUGCUGCAUCUCCCUGGGGGAGGGGGCAUUAACCCUUUCCCUCCCUGGGGGAGGGGCAUUAACCCUUUCCCAUCCCUCCCCCCCCCCUUUUAUUUCCCUAUUUAUUUAAUUUAUUGGGGGAGGGGGGAUUUUGGGGGGACACCCUGGGUGUGUCUCAACCCCCCCCGUGUGAAUUGACCCCCCCUUUUCCCCCUAAACAGCCCCCCACCUCCAUAGGGGGCUGCAGACAGUA
Colius striatus (speckled mousebird) is the source of this 842-nucleotide long non-coding RNA. RefSeq lists it as uncharacterized. The transcript has 3 exons. Lineage: Eukaryota; Metazoa; Chordata; Aves; Coliiformes; Coliidae. The record is from RefSeq and is a predicted model, not a curated record.